Molecule: ribosomal RNA, 253 nt
Filed under: uncultured bacterium
Lineage: Bacteria
Description: partial 16S ribosomal RNA
Rfam family: Bacterial small subunit ribosomal RNA
Source: RNAcentral
UACGUAGGGUGCGAGCGUUAAUCGGAAUUACUGGGCGUAAAGCGUUCGCAGGCGGUUUUGUAAGUCAGAUGUGAAAUCCCCGGGCUUAACCUGGGAACUGCGUUUGAAACUAUAAGGCUAGAGUGUGUCAGAGGGGGGUAGAAUUCCACGUGUAGCAGUGAAAUGCGUAGAGAUGUGGAGGAAUACCGAUGGCGAAGGCAGCCCCCUGGGAUAACACUGACGCUCAUGCACGAAAGCGUGGGGAGCAAACAGG